UACGUAGGGUGCAAGCGUUAAUCGGAAUUACUGGGCGUAAAGCGUGCGCAGGCGGUUGUGUAAGUCAGAUGUGAAAUCCCCGGGCUCAACCUGGGAACUGCAUUUGUGACUGCACGGCUGGAGUGCGGCAGAGGGGGAUGGAAUUCCGCGUGUAGCAGUGAAAUGCGUAGAUAUGCGGAGGAACACCGAUGGCGAAGGCAAUCCCCUGGGCCGGCACUGACGCUCAUGCACGAAAGCGUGGGGAGCAAACAGG
RNAcentral lists this ribosomal RNA (253 nucleotides) under uncultured bacterium. RNAcentral describes it as "partial 16S ribosomal RNA". It matches the Rfam family "Bacterial small subunit ribosomal RNA", at positions 524 to 776 of the family's 1533-position model. The record is from RNAcentral.